Long non-coding RNA from Topomyia yanbarensis, 759 nucleotides. RefSeq lists it as uncharacterized. NCBI's taxonomy places the organism in Eukaryota, Metazoa, Arthropoda, Insecta, Diptera, Culicidae. The record is from RefSeq and is a predicted model, not a curated record. The transcript has 3 exons.
UGUCAAAUGUGAAAUUUGGUUGAAAAAUGUAUGAAGCUUGCAACACUGAAUAAUCUGUUGUUAUUUUUUCCAAAUAAGCUACCGUAGUAACCCCUGGAUACGUAGAAAAGAACGAUUUGAAAACAAAACAAACCGUUAGUGUUUCAAAAGAAGUAGUAAUAACUUAUCUUGGGAGCAAAUAAAUGAAUGAUGUGCUGUGUAGGAACGAGUCAGAAUACGCGUGAAAGAACCGGAACCACCGAUACAGAAAACUCAAUCGAAAAAUAGGAUUGUCGGAAGGAUUGGUAUACCGGAACCGUGAUUAUCGAAGAAAUAUCCAGAUAUAGUGAUCAAUCAUGAGGGGCUAUUUCAAUUCAUGCGGUUGUAAUCUACAACUGCACCAUUUCCAGAAAUCACAUUCAACAGUCGCUGGAAUGAUAUCCAGUCGCAUAUAAACCACUCGAACGUACUACCAUCGUCGGAAAUCACCUAGGCCACUGACGAUAGAUUACACAAAAUAACAAAAUCAAUUGAAAAUUGAUUAUGUAAAAUAUACGAACAAUAGCUCAGAGCUAGCCGAGGCUGAGGAGGCAAGGAGAAUGGAAACAUAUACAAUGAUCCCAAUGGAAUAGUGGGUGUACUGGCCAUUAGAUUAAAAUUUAUAUUACAACGCCCUACAAUCGAAGAUCCUCCUUUCGGAUAAAAUAAUUUGCAUGUAAAGAUUUGAAACUUUGCGAUCAGCGAUCAAUUUGACGAGAUUUGUAAAAAAAUAUCACUGUC